This 804-nucleotide ribosomal RNA is filed under the name Triticum aestivum (bread wheat). RNAcentral describes it as "partial small subunit ribosomal RNA". Lineage: Eukaryota; Viridiplantae; Streptophyta; Magnoliopsida; Poales; Poaceae. The record is from RNAcentral.
AUGCCGCGCUCCGGUCUCCUCCCUAACCACGAAGUGGGCGCACGUGGUGCGGGCUCCAGCGAACGCGGCCGCGCGCGAUCCAGUGUCCCGGCGGCGCCCGCAUCCCUCGCCUCUCCGGUCGCAAGUCGCUUCCCUAACCACAAAUUGGGCGCAGGCGGGGUGGGAUCCGGCGAACACGGCCGCACGCGAUCCAGCGGCGCCCGCAUCCCUCGCCUCUCCGGUCGCACGUCUCCUCCCUUCCUACGAAGUGGGUGCACGCAGGGCGGACUCUCCGCCAACCGCCUCCAGGAGCUCUGCUUCCGCAAAGGCGGCAUCUACAUCAAGCUCGGCCAGCACAUCGCAAACUGGAACAACUGCUUGUUUGCUUGUACUACCACAGGUGUAUGUGCAGACGAUGAGGGCGCCGAUGCGAAAGAGUUUAGAAGAAACUCUGACAUAAAAUUUGGCUUCCCCCUAUUCCUGGUGGUGUACGUUUUUGCACAAUUCUUCCUUUUCCCGCUUGCAAGUGCUUCUCUUGUGCAAGUUCAUGCCGCCACAACCCAUGAUGGGAAAAAAAUCGCUGUCAAGGUUCAACAUGACCACUUGGUGGAUACUUCUGUAAUAGAUAUCGCCACCGUGGAUUUAGUAGUGAAUGCUCUUCAUUAUAUUUUCCCUACAUUUGUCUACAGUUUUCUUGUACAGAAAACAGAAGGAUCAGGUUAUCAUUUCUUCAUGACUUCUCUUAUGCUCCCAAGGAAUCUGGUCCAAACUCCACAUCGCUGUCACAGAACAAAGUGGGAGGCACAAUUGAAAGAGGCCAGCUAG